UAAGGGCACUGGGAAAGUUGUGGGGUGACAGAAAAGGUGGGCAAGGAGGUUUGCAGGAUGGCUAUUUUGAAUCCACCACUACUCUGGGGAGAAGGAAAAAU
This is a long non-coding RNA of Sapajus apella (tufted capuchin), 101 nucleotides long. RefSeq lists it as uncharacterized. NCBI's taxonomy places the organism in Eukaryota, Metazoa, Chordata, Mammalia, Primates, Cebidae. The record is from RefSeq and is a predicted model, not a curated record. The transcript has 3 exons.